UCCUACGGGAGGCAGCAGUGGGGAAUUUUCCGCAAUGGGCGAAAGCCUGACGGAGCAAUACCGCGUGAGGGAAGACGGCCUAUGGGUUGUAAACCUCUUUUUUCAGGGAGGAAUUUUAACGUGUACCUGAAGAAUAAGCAUCGGCUAACUCCGUGCCAGCAGCCGCGGUAAGACGGAGGAUGCAAGUGUUAUCCGGAAUCACUGGGCGUAAAGCGUCUGUAGGUGGUUUAUUAAGUUGGGUGUGAAAGCCCCGGGCUCAACCUGGGAACUGCAUCCAAAACUGAUUCACUAGAGUACGAAAGAGGGAGGUAGAAUUCACAGUGUAGCGGUGGAAUGCGUAGAUAUUGUGAAGAAUACCAAUGGCGAAGGCAGCCUCCUGGUUCUGUACUGACACUGAGGUGCGAAAGCGUGGGUAGCGAACAGGAUUAGAUACCCUGGUAGUCCACGCCGUAAACGAUGACAACUAGCUGUUGGGAGACAAUGUCUUUCAGUGGCGCAGCUAACGUUUUAAGUUGUCCACCUGGGGAGUACGGCCGCAAGGCUAAAACUCAAAUGAAUUGACGGA
This 565-nucleotide ribosomal RNA is filed under the name uncultured bacterium. RNAcentral's name for it is "bacterial SSU rRNA". It matches the Rfam family "Bacterial small subunit ribosomal RNA", at positions 337 to 917 of the family's 1533-position model. The record is from RNAcentral.